This 460-nucleotide ribosomal RNA is filed under the name uncultured bacterium. RNAcentral's name for it is "partial 16S ribosomal RNA". It matches the Rfam family "Bacterial small subunit ribosomal RNA", at positions 338 to 795 of the family's 1533-position model. The record is from RNAcentral.
CCUACGGGAGGCAGCAGUGAGGAAUAUUGGUCAAUGGACGAGAGUCUGAACCAGUCAAGUAGCGUGAAGGAUGACUGCCCUAUGGGUUGUAAACUUCUUUUAUAUGGGAAUAAAAUGUUCCACGUGUGGGAUUUUGUAUGUACCCUAUGAAUAAGGAUCGGCUAACUCCGUGCCAGCAGCCGCGGUAAUACGGAGGAUCCGAGCGUUAUCCGGAUUUAUUGGGUUUAAAGGGAGCGUAGGUGGAUUGUUAAGUCAGUUGUGAAAGUUUGCGGCUCAACCGUAAAAUUGCAGUUGAAACUGGCAGUCUUGAGUACAGUAGAGGUGGGCGGAAUUCGUGGUGUAGCGGUGAAAUGCUUAGAUAUCACGAAGAACUCCGAUUGCGAAGGCAGUUCACUGGACUGCAACUGACACUGAGGCUCGAAAGUGUGGGUAUCAAACAGGAUUAGAUACCCCUGUAGUC